Molecule: non-coding RNA, 68 nt
Organism: Candidatus Burkholderia brachyanthoides
Lineage: Bacteria; Pseudomonadati; Pseudomonadota; Betaproteobacteria; Burkholderiales; Burkholderiaceae
Source: Rfam
CCUGCUGUACGGUCAGCAGAGUUGCCUACUUGGACAGGCGUGGCGGGUGACUGCCGGGUCUGGAGCGC